CGGACGGGUGAGUAACGCGUGGGUAACCUGCCCUGUACAGGGGGAUAACAGUUGGAAACGGCUGCUAAAACCGCAUAACAUGGAGAUACCGCAUGAUAUCUCCAUCAAAUAUUUAUAGGUACAGGAUGGGCCCGCGUCUGAUUAGCCAGUUGGCAGGGUAAUGGCCUACCAAAGCGACGAUCAGUAGCCGGCUUGAGAGAGUGACCGGCCACAUUGGGACUGAGACACGGCCCAAACUCCUACGGAAGGCAGCAG
RNAcentral lists this ribosomal RNA (255 nucleotides) under uncultured bacterium. RNAcentral's name for it is "partial 16S ribosomal RNA". It matches the Rfam family "Bacterial small subunit ribosomal RNA", at positions 99 to 354 of the family's 1533-position model. The record is from RNAcentral.